CAUUCACGGAGAGUUUGAUCCUGGCUCAGGACGAACGCUGGCGGCGUGCUUAACACAUGCAAGUCGAACGAUGAAACCGCUUCGGUGGUGGAUUAGUGGCGAACGGGUGAGUAACACGUGGGCAAUCUGCCCUUCACUCUGGGACAAGCCCUGGAAACGGGGUCUAAUACCGGAUAACACUCUGUCCCGCAUGGGACGGGGUUAAAAGCUCCGGCGGUGAAGGAUGAGCCCGCGGC
This 236-nucleotide ribosomal RNA is filed under the name Streptomyces sp. SID14515. Its description in RNAcentral is "partial 16S ribosomal RNA". It matches the Rfam family "Bacterial small subunit ribosomal RNA", at positions 1 to 237 of the family's 1533-position model. The record is from RNAcentral. Lineage: Bacteria; Bacillati; Actinomycetota; Actinomycetes; Kitasatosporales; Streptomycetaceae.